This is a long non-coding RNA of Hyla sarda, 351 nucleotides long. RefSeq lists it as uncharacterized. Lineage: Eukaryota; Metazoa; Chordata; Amphibia; Anura; Hylidae. The transcript is spliced from 3 exons. The record is from RefSeq and is a predicted model, not a curated record.
UUAAAUCCUCCAUGCUGACGGAUCCACCUAAAUCCAGACCAGCACCUAUCCAUCAGGAAUGGUCAAGAGUACAACGGAAGUCUCCUGAGUCUUCUCACGGACGAGACAGACGCUCCCACUCGAGAUCUCGCUCCCCUACCUGAGGAGUGACAGACAAGCUCAUAGAGACCUUGUGGAACUGUUUACCGUCAAGCCCUCAUGACGAACUCCACUGCAGAACUAUGUCAAAGACUAUUCUUUGGUUGAGGUAUCUUGUUGUUUAUAGGGUUAACGUUACCAGUUAUUGACAUCAGGGCGGAAUGUCUGCUAGAUAAUAUUGAUGCGUGUUCUAACGUUGAAAUUGUAUUUCCA